This 950-nucleotide long non-coding RNA is filed under the name Nicotiana benthamiana. Its description in RNAcentral is "long non-coding RNA (NBEN_LNC003064)". Lineage: Eukaryota; Viridiplantae; Streptophyta; Magnoliopsida; Solanales; Solanaceae. The record is from RNAcentral.
UUGCAUUAAAACAAAAUAUAUCCAUGCUUAUGAAUUCAAAACUAACAGACCAAUCAACAUGGAAAAUUUAAAGGAAAACAGUGGAAUAACUUCGUAAGUCACCAAACUAACAUAUAGGGGUGGAAAGGCGAUAACAAUGAAGAAGAUGGAACAAAUAUACAAAAUUGGAGAAUGUAUUAUACAGUAACUCAAACAACAAAAUAGAAUUAAGCAACAAAGAAUUGAUAACAAAAUGUAAUUAGGAAAGGAAGUAGUUAAGGGACAGAAUGAACGAACCAUCAGUUAAGCUUAAGGAUGUUUCCUUAGGGAUUGAAUUACAGGCCUUUCAACAUCGACUCAGCGUCUAAACAGCAAGAUUACAACUCGACUCGCCGGAGACUCGACCUCGACAGACCGCAAAAAAAAGCAUCACUGCACCUUUCAACCUCGAAUGGCAACAGGAUUCAAAUCGGAAUCAAUGUCGAACAACGACUCAGAUCACAUCAAUCUCAGUUUCAUGCUCAAAAUUUCUGCCGGAUUUCCGGCCAGUUAUGGUAGCUGCGGUGUUUGCGGGAGGUGACUGGGAACCGCUGGUCUUUUAUUAGCAUUCACUCAGGUUGAAGAUGAGAAACAGCCGCUGAUCUCUAGCUUCUCUAGGGUUCUGUUUAUGGAAGAUGAAGGAGAAGGACGGUUGGAGUUCUCAUCGGAGAUAGCAGCGGCAACGGGUUUUUGUGAGAGUUCAGAAGCAAGCUUAAGGUUCUCUCGUGGCUGCUACUCUUGUGAAGAAGAUAGGGUCCCUGGAGUUUUUAGAUGAUAGCUCUCAUGGAGAAGAAAAGCUCCUGUCUAGUCCGAAUUUCCAGGCCUGGAUAUUGUAUUGUAUCGUGUAUCUAUGUGUGUAUCUUCAAGCCUUUUGUCAAGAAGCAAGGCUGCGCAGCUUCCAGGCCUCUCCUCUUCUGUAUUCUAUCGUGUGU